AACGAACGCUGGCGGCAUGCCUAACACAUGCAAGUCGAACGAGACCUUCGGGUCUAGUGGCGCACGGGUGCGUAACGCGUGGGAACCUGCCCUUAGGUUCGGAAUAACUCCCGAAAGGGGUGCUAAUACCGGAUAAUGUCUUCGGACCAAAGAUUUAUCGCCUUUGGAUGGGCCCGCGUUGGAUUAGCUAGUUGGUAGGGUAAAAGCCUACCAAGGCGACGAUCUAUAGCUGGUCUGAGAGGAUGAUCAGCCACACUGGGACUGAGACACGGCCCAGACUCCUACGGGAGGCAGCAGUGGGGAAUAUUGGACAAUGGGCGAAAGCCUGAUCCAGCAAUGCCGCGUGAGUGAUGAAGGCCUUAGGGUUGUAAAGCUCUUUUACCCGGGAUGAUAAUGACAGUACCGGGAGAAUAAGCUCCGGCUAACUCCGUG
This 432-nucleotide ribosomal RNA is filed under the name uncultured bacterium. RNAcentral's name for it is "partial 16S ribosomal RNA". It matches the Rfam family "Bacterial small subunit ribosomal RNA", at positions 29 to 507 of the family's 1533-position model. The record is from RNAcentral.